Long non-coding RNA from Bos taurus (domestic cattle), 2336 nucleotides. The record is from Ensembl. NCBI's taxonomy places the organism in Eukaryota, Metazoa, Chordata, Mammalia, Artiodactyla, Bovidae.
GUAAGUACUCGGUAGAUAUUUCUGCUGUCUAUACUAUCAUAGUUAUUGAUAAUAUAAAGACAUGUAAAAUCAUAAUGUUUUUAUCACAUAAACUUCAUAAAAGUGAUAAAAACAUUAAAACCCUGUAAUCUGGCUAAGUCUUUAUGAAACUAAGCAGAAGUGUAAGUUAGUUUAUAAGAAUACCUCAGUAGAUAAGUGUCUUGGUCAGCUUAACUAUCAGAAAAUACCAUAGGCUGUUAAAAAAUGAAUGAAAGAAUGCCAUUUGCAGCAACAUGGAUGAACCUAGAGAUUAUCGUACUAAAUGAAGUAAAUCGGAGAAAAAGAAAAAUGAUAUCACUUAUAUGUGAUAUCACUUAUACCUGAUAUCACGUAUACCAUAUGAUUAUCACUUAUGUGAAAUCUAAAACACAAUACAAAAGAACUUAUUUAGAAAACAGACUCACAGAUGUAGAAAACAAACUUAAGUUUGCCAAAGGGGAGAUGAGGUGGGGGAAGCAUAUUUGGAGUUUGAGAUCAACAGAUACAAACUAUUAUAUAUAAAAUAGAAAAACAACAAGGUCCGACUGUAUAGCACAGGGAACUAUAUUCAAUAUCCUAUAAUAGACCAUAAUGGAAAAAAUAUGUGUGUGUGUGUGUGCGCGUGCUAAGUCACUUUAGUUGUGUCUGACUCUUGAGACCCCAUGGACUGUAGCCCAUCAGGUAUGUGUGUGUGUGUGCGUGUGCUAAGUCACUUUAGUUGUGCCUGACUCUUUUGAGACCCCAUGGAUUGUGCAGCCCAUCAGGUAUAUGUGUAUGUGUGUGUGUGUGUGUGUGCACGUGCUAAGUCACUUUAGUUGUGUCUGACUCUUGAGACCCCAUGGACUGUAGCCCAUCAGGUGUGUGUGUGUGUGUGUGUGCACGCGUGUGCGUGUGCGCUAAGUCACUUUAGUUGUGUCUGACUCUUGAGACCCCAUGGAUUGUGUAGCCCAUCAGGUAUAUGUGUAUGUGUAUAUGUGUGUGUGUGUGUGUGUGUGUGCGUGUGCGCUAAGUCACUUUAGUUGUGUCUGACUCUUUUAAGACCCCAUGGACUGUAGCCCAUCAGGCUUCUCUGCCCAUGGAAUUCUCCAGGCAAGAAUACCAGAGUGGGUUGCCAUUUCCUUCUCCAGGGGAUCUUCCCGACCCAGGGAUCGAAUCCAGGCCUCCUACAUUACAGGCUGAUUCUUUACCAUCUGAGCCACCAGGGAAGCCACUAACCAUAUAGGCUGGGUGGCUUAAAUAACAGACAUCUAUUUCUUACAGUUCUGGAGGCUGGGAAGAUCAAGUACCAUCACAGGCAGGGUUAGGACUGCAACACGAAUUUUGGGAGUGCAGACUAAAAAAAUAGUCACAACCUAGAAGUUGAGUGUUGUUUUAUUUGGUGGGAAUUUUUAGGACUUCAAACCCCAGAGAUAGGAUCUCAAGUGACCCUGAGAGAACUGUUGGGGGUGGGGGAGUCAGGUUACAUAGAAGUUUGCAACAUGGGGCAGGUGGUCUGAAUAUCAAAAGGUUACAGUUAAUUAAGGAAAACCAGAUAUUUCAAGUUAAGGAAUUUAGCAUUUUUCUGUGUAUAGAAAGAUGCAAGAGUCUGGUCUUACUGAAAUCAUUCCUUUUAUAUGCAUCUCAGCAAUCUGGGGCCAGUGCUAACCGUGGGGAGUGGCUGAUGGCUGCCAGAUAGCAGACAUUGUUUUUCCUGGACUCCUUCAGGCUCAGAAAUUCACAUUUGGAAUCGCUGGUGGCUGUGACAUCCUUGUUUAUUGAUAUGGCAGGAAAUACUCGAUUUCACUGGGGCCACAAACAUUCAGCCCAUAACAAUAAGUACGCAAUAACAGAAAUAUGGACAGGGAGGCCUGGCGUGCUGCAGUCCUUGGGGUCACAAAGAGUCAGACUUGACUGAGAGACUGAACUGAACUGAACUAAGAAUCAAGAGAAAUAAAUAAUAAAGCCCAGAUAUAAAACAUGUGCAAAUAUAGUCAUUAAAAACAUUCAUUUGAACUCUAUAAUGAUGUUUUCCAUCCUAACGCAAUGUCUGAUACAAUGUAAGCUCUCAGUAAAUAUUUUGUGAAUCGGUCUAUUAAAAUUUCUCAACUGAUGGUCCCCCAUGCAGAGAAGAUGUGGAGGAACUGGCGCAUUGUGGUGGUGGUGGCAUAAUGUACACACUCCAGAGCAACCUGGUAAUGGCACCUUACCUCCACUUGUAAUAAAUUUCGUAAUUUCUCUGAGAAGACGUCUUCUUUGAGCCAUCCAAGCAGAGUCGAUCACACCACCCUUUAUAUCACUAGACCACACUAUCUCUAGACCACACCUCCAAUUGCUACAGC